This 73-nucleotide transfer RNA is filed under the name Ornithorhynchus anatinus (platypus). It matches the Rfam family "tRNA". From Rfam's summary of the family: Transfer RNA (tRNA) molecules are approximately 80 nucleotides in length. Their secondary structure includes four short double-helical elements and three loops (D, anti-codon, and T loops). Lineage: Eukaryota; Metazoa; Chordata; Mammalia; Monotremata; Ornithorhynchidae. The record is from Rfam by way of RNAcentral.
AGCAGCGUAGCCUAUUGGAAAGAGCACAGACUUUGGAAGUCAGAAAAUCUGGGUUCUAAUCCCAGCUCUGCCA